GUUCUUCUCUCCUCCAUUCUCAUCACCCAGCAAUCUCCACCAUCGCGUUGCCGUGACCGCCGCGAUCAUUUGCCACAUCAUCACCAUACUCGAUUUGGCUCUCACUGGACCAGCUUUUCAACUAUGCGCUAAUCUACAUCACCAAUCCAUCGCCGUUUUGGAGUAUGGAAGACGAUAUAGAAGAGUUCUCUUCUCCUGAAGAUACUAUCAAGCUAUUGUUCAGAUGUGCGUCGGUCAACACAAUAUCAAACAUCUUGUAG
This 260-nucleotide long non-coding RNA is filed under the name Rosa chinensis. RNAcentral's name for it is "sRNA RchiOBHm_Chr7g0235541". Lineage: Eukaryota; Viridiplantae; Streptophyta; Magnoliopsida; Rosales; Rosaceae. The record is from RNAcentral.